This 497-nucleotide ribosomal RNA is filed under the name uncultured bacterium. RNAcentral's name for it is "partial 16S ribosomal RNA". It matches the Rfam family "Bacterial small subunit ribosomal RNA", at positions 28 to 507 of the family's 1533-position model. The record is from RNAcentral.
GAUGAACGCUGGCGGCGUGCCUAAUACAUGCAAGUCGAGCGAACGGACGAGAAGCUUGCUUCUCUGAUGUUGGCGGCGGACGGGUGAGUAACACGUGGAUAACCUACCUAUAAGACUGGGAUAACUUCGGGAAACCGGAGCUAAUACCGGAUAAUAUUUUGAACCGCAUGGUUCAAAAGUGAAAGACGGUCCUGCUGUCACUUAUAGAUGGAUCCGCGCUGCAUUAGCUAGUUGGUAAGGUAACGGCUUACCAAGGCAACGAUGCAUAGCCGACCUGAGAGGGUGAUCGGCCACACUGGGACUGAGACACGGUCCAGACUCCUACGGGAGGCAGCAGUAGGGAAUCUUCCGCAAAGGGCGAAAGCCUGACGGAGCAACGCCGCGUGAGUGAUGAAGGUCUUCGGAUCGUAAAACUCUGUUAUUAGGGAAGAACAUAUGUGUAAGUAACUGUGCACAUCUUGACGGUACCUAAUCAGAAAGCCACGGCUAACUACGUG